RNAcentral lists this ribosomal RNA (403 nucleotides) under uncultured bacterium. RNAcentral's name for it is "partial 16S ribosomal RNA". It matches the Rfam family "Bacterial small subunit ribosomal RNA", at positions 28 to 526 of the family's 1533-position model. The record is from RNAcentral.
GACGAACGCUGGCGGCGUGCCUAAUACAUGCAAGUCGAACGCAGUGGGGACGGGUGAGUAACACGUGGGUAACCUCCCAUCAGAGGGGAUAACACUUGGAAACAGGUGCUAAACCGAUACUGAUUUAGCGACCAGCGGUGCAUUAGCUAGUUGGUGGGGUAAAGGCUCACCAAGUCCACGAUGCAUAGCCGACCUGAGAGGGGGAUCGGCCACACUGGGACUGAGACACGGCCCAGACUCCUACGGGAGGCAGCAGUAGGGAAUAUUCCGCAAUGGACGAAAGUCUGACCGAGCCACGCCGCGUGAGUGAAGAAGGUUUUCGGAUCGUAAAACUCUGUUGUUAGAGAAGCGGUAUCUAACCAGAAAGCCCCGGCUAACUACGUGCCAGCAGCCGCGGUAAUAC